CAAGUCGAACGAAUCCUGGGGGGCAACCCCCGGGGGAAGUGGCGAAAGGGGCAGUAAGGCGUGGAUAACCUGCCCCCGGCUCCAGGAUAGCCCUCCUAACGGAGGGGUAAUACUGGGUAAGCUCGUCGGGAGACAUCUCCUGACGAGGAUAGCUCCGGCGGCCGGGGAGGGGUUCACGUGAUAUUAGCUAGUUGGUGGGGUGACGGCCCACCAAGGCCAAGAUGUCUAGCGGGUGUGAGAGCACGACCCGCGCCACUGGCACUGGGACACUGGCCAGACUCCUACGGGAGGCUGCAGUCGAGGAUCUUCGGCAAUGGGCGCAAGCCUGACCGAGCGACGCCGCGUGAGCGAUGAAGGCCUUCNGGUCGUAAAGCUCUGUCGGGGGGGAGAAAAGGGCGCAAGCCCUUGAUCGACCCCCGGAGGAAGCACGGGCUAAGUUCGUGCCAGCAGCCGCGGUAAGACGAACCGUGCGAACGUUAUUCGGAAUCACUGGGCUUAAAGGGCGCGUAGGCGGGUCCGUUAGUCAGGGGUGAAAUCCCACGGCCCAACCGUGGAAGUGCCUCUGAUACUGCGGGCCUCGAGGGGGGUAGGGGCGUGCGGAACUCAGGGUGGAGCGGUGAAAUGCGUAGAUAUCCUGACGAACACCGGUGGCGAAAGCGGCGCGCUGGAUCCCUUCUGACGCUGAGGCGCGAAAGCCAGGGGAGCAAACGGGAUUAGAUACAUUUAUGGUGUCCCCCAUGCCUGUAACGGCAUGGUGAGCAUCCAGCUAUAUGAGGGGGAAACCUCCCACGCGGAAGCAAU
This 801-nucleotide ribosomal RNA is filed under the name uncultured Planctomycetota bacterium. RNAcentral describes it as "bacterial SSU rRNA". It matches the Rfam family "Bacterial small subunit ribosomal RNA", at positions 58 to 861 of the family's 1533-position model. The record is from RNAcentral. Lineage: Bacteria; Pseudomonadati; Planctomycetota.